GUGCUCACUUUGACAGCACAUCUACUACAAUUGCAGUGGUACAGAGAAGAUUAGCUUGGCCCCUGUGCAAGGAUGACAUGCAAAUCUGUGAAGCAUUCCAUAUUUUU
Molecule: small nuclear RNA, 107 nt
Filed under: Carlito syrichta (Philippine tarsier)
Lineage: Eukaryota; Metazoa; Chordata; Mammalia; Primates; Tarsiidae
Source: RNAcentral